Molecule: ribosomal RNA, 482 nt
Filed under: uncultured bacterium
Lineage: Bacteria
Description: partial 16S ribosomal RNA
Rfam family: Bacterial small subunit ribosomal RNA
Source: RNAcentral
AUUGAACGCUGGCGGCAUGCCUUACACAUGCAAGUCGAACGGUAACGGGCCUUCGGGUGCCGACGAGUGGCGAACGGGUGAGUAAUACAUCGGAACGUGCCCGAUCGUGGGGGAUAACGAGGCGAAAGCUUUGCUAAUACCGCAUACGAUCUACGGAUGAAAGCAGGGGACCGCAAGGCCUUGCGCGGACGGAGCGGCCGAUGGCAGAUUAGGUAGUUGGUGGGAUAAACGCUUACCAAGCCGACGAGCUGUAGCUGGUGUGAGAGGAUGAUCAGCCACACUGGGACUGAGACACGGCCCAGACUCCUACGGGAGGCAGCAGUGGGGAAUUUUGGACAAUGGGCGCAAGCAUGAUCCAGCCAUGCCGCGUGCAGGAUGAAGGCCUUCGGGUUGUAAACUGCUUUUGUACGGAACGAAAAGCCUUCGUUUAAUACAGGAGGGUCAUGACGGUACCGGAAGAAUAAGCACCGGCUAACUACGUG